This 429-nucleotide ribosomal RNA is filed under the name Bacteroidota bacterium. RNAcentral's name for it is "Bacteroidetes bacterium partial 16S ribosomal RNA". It matches the Rfam family "Bacterial small subunit ribosomal RNA", at positions 355 to 776 of the family's 1533-position model. Lineage: Bacteria; Pseudomonadati; Bacteroidota. The record is from RNAcentral.
UAGGGAAUCUUCCGCAAUGGACGCAAGUCUGACGGAGCAACGCCGCGUGAGUGAAGAAGGAUUUCGGUUCGUAAAACUCUGUUGUUAGAGAAGAACAGCGCAUAGAGUAACUGUUAUGCGUGUGACGGUAUCUAACCAGAAAGCUACGGCUAACUACGUGCCAGCAGCCGCGGUAAUACGUAGGUGGCAAGCGUUGUCCGGAUUUAUUGGGCGUAAAGCGAGCGUAGGCGGUCAAUUAAGUCUGAUGUGAAAGCCCCCGGCUCAACCGGGGAGGGUCAUUGGAAACUGGUUGACUUGAGUGCAGAAGAGGAGAGUGGAAUUCCAUGUGUAGCGGUGAAAUGCGUAGAUAUAUGGAGGAACACCAGUGGCGAAGGCGACUCUCUGGUCUGUAACUGACGCUGAGGCUCGAAAGCGUGGGUAGCAAACAGG